This 585-nucleotide ribosomal RNA is filed under the name uncultured bacterium. RNAcentral describes it as "partial 16S ribosomal RNA". It matches the Rfam family "Bacterial small subunit ribosomal RNA", at positions 355 to 1375 of the family's 1533-position model. The record is from RNAcentral.
UGGGGAAUUUUGGACAAUGGGCGAAAGCCUGAUCCAGCAAUGCCGCGUGUGUGAAGAAGGCCUUCGGGUUGUAAAGCACUUUUGUCCGGAAAGAAAUCCUUGGCUCUAAUACAGUCGGGGGAUGACGGUACCGGAAGAAUAAGCACCGGCUAACUACGUGCCAGCAGCCGCGGUAAUACGUAGGGUGCAAGCGUUAAUCGGAAUUACUGGGCGUAAAGCGUGCGCAGGCGGUUUGCUAAGACCGAUGUGAAAUCCCCGGGCUCAACCUGGGAACUGCAUUGGUGACUGGCAGGCUAGAGUAUGGCAGAGGGGGGUAGAAUUCCACGUGUAGCAGUGAAAUGCGUAGAGAUGUGGAGGAAUACCGAUGGCGAAGGCAGCCCCCUGGGCCAAUACUGACGCUCAUGCACGAAAGCGUGGGGAGCAAAACAGGAUUAGAUACCCCUGGUAGUCCACGCCCUAAACGAUGUCAACUAGUUGUGGGGAUUCAUUUUCUAGUAACGUAGCUAACGCGUGAAGUUGACCGCCUGGGGAGUACGGUCGCAAGAUUAAAACUCAAAGGAAUUGACGGGGUCAUAGCUGUUUCCU